GCUUUGCGGCAGAGGUGCUUUACGGCAGCAGGUUCUGGGCUGCGCCUGAGCAGCGAGUGGCCGCUUGGCCUCCAGAGACCUCCUCGCCGAGGCAUCAAAGGAAACAUGGCUAUUUGCUCUGCACCCUCCCACCCCCAUCAGGGGGCUAGCUGGUCACUCCAGUGCUCACCAGAAAAUCGUGGAGCUGAGUUUUCAGUAAAAUCCCCAGGAAGUACCCAGCUUCAAAAAUGCCCACAAACACAGACUUCCAGGGGGCCCUCCAUGCUGGAGAAUUCAUUGAGUGCAAGGAGAAGAGCAUUCUGAGGUGGGGGAGACUUUAUAGCUGGAGAAUCUGAGGCUGUCUUACUGAAGGACCCUGAGGCGGCAGUUGUUCAUGGCAUAAAACCCUCUUUAUCAUCAAAGCAACCGUCUACCUAUCUUGCUGACUGUGCACUCUGAGGUGGCCUCUGCCCCACCCCGCACACCUCAGCUGCAGGAAUCGAUUUCCUGAGAUGUCAAAAUAUGCCACUGAGCAGAACUCACAGAGUUUUUGCCUGUAGUGAGCAAUGCUGCUGUGAACAUUCUUGUUCAUGAGUCCUGGCACACACAUGAAUGGACUUCUCUAUACCUGAGAUUGGAUUUGCUGGCUUAUAUGAUCCCUGAGGCCUUCAGUCAACGGUGUAAUGUGAGAAGAGAAUGAAAUGAAACCCUGCCUGUGACUUCCCCGACAUUAACCGGAUGGAGAUCCUACAGUCUUUGAAGGGAAGAGAUGUCAUCCUGGAGUUCCUUCAGUCUUCCCUCAAGAAAAGUCUAGAGAAGCUGUACUGGAGCCAGACCCGAAGAAGCAAUGAGUGAGUCUCUGGCCCAGGAAUACCCAACAAAAUGCACUAGUCACAAACAAAUGUCAUGUUCGGCCCCUACUGAACUUGAGGAACUAUGUACACCUAACAUCAGUCAAGUCCAAGGUGAGUUCAUGCACUCCCGUGAGGCUGGGUGACUCUAAGGUCUUGGUAGCUGGAUGAGGAUUCUACCUGUGCUUCU
Long non-coding RNA from Talpa occidentalis (Iberian mole), 1020 nucleotides. RefSeq lists it as uncharacterized. NCBI's taxonomy places the organism in Eukaryota, Metazoa, Chordata, Mammalia, Eulipotyphla, Talpidae. The record is from RefSeq and is a predicted model, not a curated record. The transcript is spliced from 9 exons.